GGGGAUGAAAGGAUUUCGACAGGGUUGUUGAGUCUUGGUCAGCGAGUAGUGGAGUUGCACCACUUUAAAAGUAACACCUUAAAAUUAACUGACAAAAAUAAUUCAGUUGCUCUUGCUGCUUAAUUAGCAGCUUGUGUCCUACCACAGAAUGCCACGGCUGUGAAUAGGGCAUCGUGUUAGUGGCGAACAUGAAUGAUUGAGCUUCUCGGCUUUCAUCAGGUAAUAGAGAAUACCGUAGUCUAAAGGCUGCUUGUCGCCGUUAGAUGAGGGGAAUCAAAAAAGAUAAGCUACACUCGUAGAGCCCUUGAUAAGAUAAUUUUGGACGCGAGUUCGACUCUCGCCAUCUCCACCA
Molecule: transfer-messenger RNA, 352 nt
Filed under: uncultured Eubacterium sp.
Lineage: Bacteria; Bacillati; Bacillota; Clostridia; Eubacteriales; Eubacteriaceae
Rfam family: transfer-messenger RNA
About the family: Bacterial tmRNA, also known as 10Sa RNA or SsrA, is named for its dual tRNA and mRNA-like properties.
Source: RNAcentral